CGGGGAAAGGGUCCGUUCCCUUGUCGUCCCGCCUCGCCACCCUGCCAGGGAAGGGUGAUUGUGAGGAAGACUCCAGUGCAUCUGGGAUCUCGUCAAUUCCUCCAACAAUAUUUCUACAACAUAGUUGGCAACGAUAACGGAGGCUCGUUUGUGUUCAGGAUCCACUACGUCAUUGCUGCAUGACCUUGGGUGUGAAAGAGCCUUGGGUGAGCUCAGGCACUCUGAGGUGGCCCGGAGGGCCGGCGGCAGCUGCAGCAGCAGGAGAAGCAGCAGCAGCAGGAGAAGCAGCAGCAG
Dromiciops gliroides (monito del monte) is the source of this 294-nucleotide long non-coding RNA. RefSeq lists it as uncharacterized. The transcript is spliced from 4 exons. The record is from RefSeq and is a predicted model, not a curated record. NCBI's taxonomy places the organism in Eukaryota, Metazoa, Chordata, Mammalia, Microbiotheria, Microbiotheriidae.